This 11656-nucleotide long non-coding RNA is filed under the name Nicotiana benthamiana. RNAcentral's name for it is "long non-coding RNA (NBEN_LNC028124)". Lineage: Eukaryota; Viridiplantae; Streptophyta; Magnoliopsida; Solanales; Solanaceae. The record is from RNAcentral.
ACUCUAUUUAUGUCACGAUCCGAAUUUUCCCACCAUCGAGAGUCGUGAUGGCGCCUGCUGUCGAAGCUAGGCAAGCUAACCUCUAUAAUCAUUUUUACAAAUUUAAAUGUAGAACAAGAUAAAUGCUAAAAUAAUUAAUUAAAACAUAGAAGUCUUUUAACAUUAAUAUCGAAAACAAAAUGCGAAAACUAACAACAUGUCUCUACCCAGUAUCUGGUGUCACUACUCACGGACGACUAAGAGUACUAAAGCAAUAGUCUGAAAGAAAUAUACCAUAUGUCUGUUUUGAUGCAAUAAAAACAAACUAGAAAAUAUAGAAGAGACUCGGGGCCCGCGAACGCCAGCGAACUACCGCAGAAUCUCUGGACUGAAGGAUCACCCACUAACUACUGUGUCCUGACCUGUGCACAAAAAGGCAAAGAAGUGUAGUAUCAGCACAACCGACCCCAUGUGCUGGUAAGUGCCUGGCCUAACCCCGCCAAAGUAGUGAUGAGGCUAAACUAAACCUACCACAAUCAACCUGUACAGAUAUAUGGGCGAUAACUGAAAGAUAACAAUAUUUAAACAGAUAAUGGGGAGUGACAAACAAAGAAAUGGAAAAAUGUAUAACUAACGUCAAUAAAAAGAAGACCAGUAAAUCAAACGUUGCACGACACCACCCAUCGUGAUUUUACUCUCGUCAUCACCAAGAUAAUAAAUAAAAGUGUACGACAUCACACAUCGUACUUUAUCGCUCUUCCUCACCAAUCAAUAGCAUAAAGUAGUUACACGGCAUCACCCAUCGUGCUUUAUCACCCUUUCUCACCCAAUCAAUAGCAUGAAGCAAUUACACGGCAUCACUCAUCGUGCUUUAUCACUCAACCUCACCCAAACAAUGAUCACAGAUAAUUGGGCAAAUGUAUAAACGAAGCCGUAAUAAUAAUCCCGGCAAGGGAGAAAUACAAGCAAUACAUAAAUCCCGGCAAGGUAAAAUAAUUCAACAAUACGUCCCGGCAAGGGAAAGGUACCAAAAACUUCCUCUUUUAGUUCAUUUGCUUCUCAACUACCACUUCAUAGUUCAUUUAACAAGUAAUUAGCAAAAUUGUUUACUUCUUUCGAAAUUUAAUAACAAUUAUGACUCACGGUCAUGCUAGACUGGGGCGCAUAGGUAAGCGUCACCAUACCUAUACACCGACUCCACAUAGCACAUAGCAAAUAUUAUCCUAAUCAUAUUCUCUCAAGCCAAAGUUAGAUCAAACACUUACCUCAAAUUCGAAAAUGGCAACUCAAAGCUUAAAAAUCGCCUUUCCUCUAGAAUUCGACCCCGACCCAACGAUAAGCCAAAGUUAGAUCAAACACUUACCUCGAUCCGAAAAUAGCAACUCAAAGCUCAACAAUCGCCUUUCUUCUAGAAUUUGACCCCGAACCACCGAUAUCUAACAUAAAUGGAUUCAAUGUUAUCAAUAAUAGCACAAGGAUACAAUUUCAUAGCUUAGAAAUUCAUUUCUAAUUUUUCUUCCAAAAAUACCAAAAUCCAACACCGGGCCCGCAUGGUCCAAACUCGAGGCUCAGACCAGAUUCUUAUUAGCCAUAAACCCACGAGUCCAAAUAUAUAAUUUGUUUUAAGAUUCGACCCUAAAUUGGGGUUGAAUCGCCCAAUUUUCUAAGAACCCUAGAUAUGCCCAAACAUCCCUAAAUUCUACUAUGAUUCUAUAAUUUGGGGCUAGAAAAUAGAUGGUUGGAUGAAGAAAUAAUGGGACAAAGAAGUUGGAAUCACUUACCUAAAGAGUUAUGGUGAAGUAGGGGCUUGGAGUUCGUAAAUGGAGAAUGUAGGAGGAGAGCCUGUGAGAGAAAUUUUGAAGAAAUGCGGAACACACUGUUCUGGACUAAUUUAAAUCUUUGAAGGAAUUUUCCUUACGCGAUCACGACACUUGGGAUGCUUUCGCGAGGUAAGAGGUCUGGAGGCAUCGCGAUCGCGAUUGGGAUCACGCGAUCGAGAAGAAGAAAGUCAGGGGGGUCCAAGUGCCUUACGCGAACCCGAGGUGGGGAGUGCGAACGCGUUGAGGGAGCUGGUAACACAGUGCGAACGGGGGGGUUCUUCCGUGAUCGUGUAGAAGACUAGAGGCAGGGCUACGCGAACGUGACUGGAUGCACGCGAUCGCGAAGGGAAAAUGGGUCUGCAACAGCUGUUGAAAAAUCUGGUAUUUUCCAAGUUUCAAAACACCCCGAAACACCCUCGAAAUCACCCCCGAGCCCUCGGGGCUCCCAAUCAAACACACACACUAACUCAAUAUCAUCCUACGAACUUGCUCGAGUGAUCAAAUCACCAAAAUAACAUCAAAAUCAAAGAAUCAUCCCCCAAAACUCCUUCUGCAACAGCUGUUGAAAAAUCUGGUAUUUUUCUAAGUUUCAAAACACCCCGAAAUCACCCGCGAGUUCUCGGGGCUCCUAACCAAAUAUACACACUAACUCAAUAUCAUCGUACGAACUUGCUCGAGCGAUCAAAUCGCCAAAAUAACAUCAAAAUCAAAGAAUCAACCCCCAAAACUCAUGAUUUUCAUUUCUAAGUUCAAAACUUUCAGCUUUCCACUUUUAGUCCAAAACACAUCAAACGACGUCCGUUUUCAACCAAUCUUUACAGAUAGCACUUAUGCCAAUUUAAGAUUUGUACCGGCCCUCGGAACCGAAAUACGAGCCCGAUACCAUUAUUUUUGAUCAAUUUCUGUUUUCAAUUUUUCCUUAAGCAUAUUCAUAAAACAAUUUUACAGAAAAGCUCCGUACUUGGGCCUGGGACCUCAGAUUUUGAUUCCGGGAAUACGCCAGAGUCCCAAAUUUCCUUGCGGACCAUUCGGGUCCGUCACAUUACGGGUCCGGGUUUGUUUGCCUAAAACGUUGACCAAAGUCAACUAUAGAAAUAUUAGUAUCAAAAUUCAUAGUUUUUAACACAUAAUUCAAAUAUUUUAACAUAAUAAUUUUUCGGCUUCGCACCUGCACUGUGCACGCAAAUUGAGGCAACCUAAUAAGAGGUUUUCAAGGCCUCAGAAGCGCAAGGAAAGGGAGAAUUACGGUGAUGGCCCUUUGGAUUCACAUCAUCCACCUCUAAAACAAUUGUUCGUCCUCGAACGGACAAAAUAAAGAAGUACAUGAGUCGGGGAAUAGACGGGGAUAACGGCCUCGCAUAUCAGAGUUGGACUCUCAGGUCGAUCCCUCAGGAGGCUGACCUCUCCACUGAACACGCAUUGAAGGAAAACUUUGCGACCUCCACUGUCGAACCUGCCGGUCUAAAAUAGCCACCGACUCCUCCUCAUAUGACAGAUCCUUCUCCAAUUGGACAGUACCGAAAUCUAACAGGUGGCUGGGAUCAUCGUGAUACUUCCAAAGCAUGGAUACAUGGAAAACUGGAUGCACAGCUGACAAGCUAGGCGGCAAUGCGAGUCUAUAAGCUACAUUUCUCACACGGUCCAAAAUCUAAAACGGGCCAAUAUACCUAGGGCUAAGCUUUCCCUUCUUCCCGAACCUCAUCACGCCCUUCAUAGGCCACAUUCCCCACACGGUCAAGAAUCUCAAAUGGGCCAAUAUACCUAGGGCUAAGUUUUUCCUUCUUCCCGAACCUCGUCACGCCCUUCAUAGGCGAUGCAUAGAGCAAUAUCUCUCACCAACCAUGAGAGAAACAUCCCUAACCUUAUGAUCUGCAAAACUCUUUUGCCUACACUGAGCUGACCGAAGUCUGUCCUGAAUGAUCUUAACCUUAUCCAAGGCCUCCUGCACCAAAUUUGUACCCAAUAACCAAGCCUCUCCUGGGUCAAACCAUCCUAUUAGGGACCGACACCGCCUACCAUACAACGCCUCAUAAGGAGCCAUCUGAAUACUGGACUGGUAGCUAUUGUUGUAGGCAAACUCCGCUACAGCAAGAACUGGUCCCACGAGCCUCCAAAAUCAAUAACGCAGGCUCGGAGCAUAUCCUCAAGAAUAUGAAUGUUCCUCUCGGACUGACCGUCCCUCUGCCAUCUGAAUACUGGAUUGGUAGCUAUUGUUGUAGGCAAACUCCGCUACAGCAAGAACUGGUCCCACGAGCCUCCAAAAUCAAUAACGCAGGCUCGGAGCAUAUCCUCAAGAAUAUGAAUGGCCCUCUUGGAUUGACCGUCCAUCUGGGGGUGAAACGCUUUACUCAACUGGAUCUGGGUGCCCAACUCAUGAUGUAACGCUCUCCAGAAAUGCGAGGUAAACUGCGGACCCUGGUCGAAAAUAAUAGAUAUGGGCACCCCAUGAAGGCGAACGAUCUCUCUGAUGAAUAGGUGGUGGCAACUGGUACGAAAUGCGCUGACUUUGUCAGCCUAUCAACAAUAACCCAUAUAGCAUCAAACUUCUUCCGUGUCAUCGGAAGGCCAGUAACAAAAUCCAUGGUGAUUCUCUCCCACUUCCACUCCGGAUGCUCAAUCCUCUGAAAUAACCCACCGGGUCUCUGAUGCUCGCACUUAACCUGCUGACAAUUCAGACCACGAGCCACAUAUGCAACAUUUUCUUUAUUCAUUUUGCACCACCAAUAAUGCCGUCUCAAAUCUUAGUACAUCUUCGCGGCGCCCGGGUGAAUAGACUACCGAGAAUUGUGGGCCUCGGCUAAGAUCGACUCUCGAAUAUCAUCAACAUUGGGCACACAAACUCGCCCCUGCAACCUCAACAAGCCAUCAUCUCCCAAAGUCAUCUCCCUAUCACCUCCCCGCUGCACCGUAUCUCUCAGGACACACAAAUGGGGAUCAUCAAACUGCCGCUCCCGGAUAUACUCCAUCAAUAACGAGCGACCAACCGUGCAAGCUAACACCCUACUGGGCUCACAAAUAUCCAAUCUCACAAAUCUAUUGGCCAAAGCCUGAUCAUCCAAGGCGAACGGUCUCUGGCUGACCAGAAUAUAGGCAAGACUACCCCUGCUGGCGGACCUUCUCCUCAAUGCAUCGACCACCACAUUGGCCUUCCCCGGGUGGUAUGAGGUGGAGCAUCAUAGUCUUUCAACAGCUACAACCAACUCCACUAUCUCAAUUUCAACUGUUUCUGCUUGAACAAGUACUGAAGGCUCUUGUGAUCCGUGUGCACCUUACACGUCACGCCAUACAAAUAAUUUCUCCAGAUCCCGCAUGAACAAUGGCUGCCAACUCUAAGUCAUGAAAUGGAUAAUUCUUCUCGUGGAUCUUCAACUGCCUUGAAACAUAUACCAUGACCCUGUCACUCUGCAUCAACAUUGCACCACGCUGAACCCAAGAAGCAACACAAUAAACCGUAGGAGAUCCUGAUCCCCUGGACAAAAUCAAUCCGAUGCGAAAAAACUAUCUUAAGGACACCGAAUGCUCUAAUACUGAACUGGUGGUAAUAAAAUCCCAAAUCUAUCCUUGAGAAAACACCCUGGUGCUCCAAAGCUGAUUGAACUUAUCCUCAUCGAACCGUCCUUCCUUUUCGCAAUAACGUUGGGUACGCCCCAAGGCGAAACUCUGGCCUAAUGAAACCCUUAUCAAGAAAAUCCUGAAACUAUUCCUUUAACUCUCUCAACUCUUGCGGGGCCAUGCGAUACGAUGAAACGGAAAUAGGCUGAGUGCUCGGCGCCAGAUCAGCGCAAAGAUUGAUAACCAUGUCAGGCAGUACGCCCGGCGUUCUGAUGGAAAAACAUCGAGGAAGCUCCCGAACAAUAGGAACAAAACCAACGGAAGAAACCUCCGCACUGGAGUCGCAAUCAUACGCCAAUCGAGCUAAACACCCCUCUCUUAACCAUGCGCCGAGCCUUUGCAUACGAUAUCACAUUGCGGGUCGGAAAUUCUAAAGUCCCUCUCACUCUAAAUGGAGCAAAUCGGGUAAAGCCACGAUCACGAUUUUUGGUGCGAUAAUCCCAACAUAGGAUGGCACGAGGACAACUAAUCCAUCCCCCAUAUAAUGUCAAAGUCCACCAUAUCAAAAGCAAUAAGUCGACAUGGGUCUCCAAACCCUCAAAUACUACCACUCAUGAAUGAUGCACUCGGUCGACCAUUAUAGAAUAAGUCACUGGUGGAAAUACAUAUAAAGAAAACCCAAGGCUUCAUUAGGCAUAACCAAAUGGAGUGCAAAAUAGGGCGAAAUGUAUGAAUGUGAAGAUUCAGGGUUAAACAACACUGAAGCAUCUCUAAAACAAAUCAGAACGAUACCUGGAAUGUCAGCAUCUGAAGUCUCAACCUCCAAACUGGCCACUGGCUGAUCCCUACUGCUGGCGACCUGAACUCCACCUCUAAGACCUCUACCUCCACCUUUAGCCGGCUAGGUAGGCUGUGGAACCUCCGGUGCCCGGAGCCAAGCACGAUAACUCUGAUACUGAAAGUUGCUCAGAGCUCUAGAGCAAGAUCUGACCAUGUUCCUCGGAUCACCACAAGCAUGGCAGGACCUCGGCUGCUGCGGAUGAGCACCCCUCAGCCUUGAGCGGGCCCCCCUGAGGUGUCCAUACUCGCCACACUCGUAACAUCUACACGCACGCUGCAAUUGAGGAAGUUGGGGCUGGCCUGGUCGGCCACCUGAAGUACCAUGAGAGACAGGGGAAGCUGGCUGAAAGGGCCUGGAAGGAUGACCUCUACCAUAAGAACCUCUACCUCCAGAAGAGGUACCACUUAAUCUACUCGCAUGACGGGGCCUCUUAGCCGAUCGUUGACCGCCUCCUUGUGGCAGUACCACCUCAACUCCACGUGGCCUGCAUGAUGAGACCUCUUAUCCGAUCGAUCAUCGCCUCCCUGUGGCAGUACCAACUUAACACCACGGCCCUCAUUGGUUGUAUCCCUAAAAGGGACCUCACUCCUAGUCUGAGCCGCUGCACAUGGCUGACCUACUGUCACUGGCUGGGCGGCCUGCGGAUUAUCUGCUUCUUGAAUCAUGGGACAAAGACCCUGCUGCUGUGAACUGCCGGAAGCUCGAGGGAAAUACUUGGAAAUGUGCAUCAGGUCGCCGCAAGUGAAGCAAGCCCUCGGCUGCUGACAAUAUCUAAGUGCCUGCUGGGUGAAAGAUUGCGACUGAAAACUGCGACAGUUGAAAGUAGUUGUGAAAAGCUUGUAGAACCGAUCAAGUCUCCACAAAACAUCCGAAGAAAUGGCCGUCCCAUCUCCGGCCUGGGCUGUAAUGCCUGUCUGAGCUGCCAGUGCAGGCUGAACCAAUGAAACCUGAGCUGGGGAUCUGCCUGCUCUGGAGUACGUGUAGUAGGAGUCUGAACCCCUCCUUCAGCCUGAGAAGUAGCUGGUGCUACUUGCAGCAAUCCCGCUCUAUAAACACUGUCCAUAAAGCCUGUUAUGCGGACAAGAGCAUCCUAAAGAUCCGAAGAAAACAUCACUCCUCCUAGGACCUGAGCUGGGCCCACUAGUGCUGGUGGAGCUGGAACCUCCUCAUCAAAGUCAAUAUGAGGCUCCACCUCUGGAUUUGCUGCUUGGGGCGUAGCUCUGCCCCUGCCACGGCCUCGGCCCCUGCCCCUCGCGGGAGCGGCUGCUGGGGGCGAACCUCCUCAUCAAAGUCAAUAUGAGGCUCCACCUCUAGAACUGUUGCCUAGGGCUGAGCUCUGCCCCUUCCACGGCCUCGGCCCCUGCCUCUCGCGGGAGCUGCUGCUAGGGACUCGGGCUGAUGCGCAGUAGAAGAAGAUGCACGUGUUCUCGCCAUCUGCGAAAGAACAGAGUAGAAUAACAAUCAAUAUUUGGGAAACAGAAUCACACGACAAGAAUGAACGGAGUGAAAUUUUUCCGAACUAUGUAGGCUCUGGGAUAAAUAAGACAUCUUCGUACCGAAACCCUCAGACUCUACCGAGCUUGUCCGUGGGUUGUGAGACCCAAGUAACCUAGUGCUCUAAUACCAACUUGUCACUACCCAAAUUUUUCCACCAUCGGAAGUCGUGAUGGCGCCUACUGUCGAAGCUAGGCAAGACAACCUCUAUAAUCAUUUUACAAAAUUUAAAUGUAGAACAAGAUAAUUACUAAAAUAAUUAAUUAAAACAUGCGGAAGUCUUUUAACAACAAUAGCGAAAACUAAAUGCGGAAAAAAACAACAUGUCUCUACCCAGUAUCUGGUGUCACUGCAUACGGACGACUAAGAGUACUAAAGAAAUAGUUUGAAAGAAAUACACCAUAUGUCUAUUUUGAUACAAUAAAAACAAACUAGAAAAGAUAGAAGAGACUCGGGGCCCGCGAAUGUCAGCGAACUACCUCAGAAUCUCUGGACUGAAGGAUCGCCCACUAUCUAUGCCCAAAAUCCCUAAAUUCUACUAUGAUUAUAUGAUUUGGGGCUGGAAAAUUAAUGGUUGGAUGAAGGAAUAAUGGUAGAACGAAGUUGGAAUCACUUACCCGAAGAGUUAUGGUGAAGUAGGAGCUUGGAGUUUGUCAAUAGAGAGUGUAGGAGGAGAGCCCGUGAGAGAAAUUUUGAAGAAAUGGGGAAAACACUGUUCUGGACUAAAUUAAAUCGCUGAAGGAAUUUUCCUUACGCGAUCGCGACACUUGGGACGUGUUCGCGAUGUAAUAGGUCUAGAGGCAUCGUGAUCGCAAUUGGGAUCACGCAAUCGUGAAGAAGAAAGUCAGAGGGGGGUCUAAGUGUCUUACGCGAAUGCGAGGUAGGGAGUGCGAACGCGUUGAUGAAGCUGGUAACACAGUGCGAAUGUAGGGGCUCUUCCACGAUGGCGUAGAUGACUGGAGGCUGGGCUACGUGAACGCAACUGGAUGCACGCGAUCAUGAAGGGAAAAUGGGUAUGCAACAGCUGUUCAAAAAUCUGGUAUUUUUCGAAGUUUCAAAACACCCCGAAAUCACCCCCAGCCCUACCAAACACACACACUAACUCAAUAUCAUCCUACGAACUUGUUCGAGCGAUUAAAUUGUCAAAAUAACAUCAAAAUCAAAGAAUCUACCCCCAAAACUCAUGAUUUUCAUUUCUAAGUUCAAAACUUUCAAAUUUUUCCACUUUUAGUCUGAAACACGUCAAACGACGUCCGUUUUCAACCAAACUUUACAAAUAGCGUUUGACGCCCAUUUAAGAUUUGUAUCGCGCGUCGGAACCAAAUACGAGCCUGAUACCAUUAUUUUUUAUCAAUUUCCAUUUUUUUCCUUAAGCAUAUUCAUAAAAUAAUUUCACAAAAAAGCUCCGUACUUGGGCCUGGGACCUCGGAUUUCGAUUCCGGGAAUACGCCAGGGUCCCAAAUUUCCUUACGGACCCUCCGGACCGUCACAUCACGGGUCCAGAUCCGUUUGUCCAAUACAUUAACCAAAGUCAACUAUAGCAAUAUUAAUAUCAAGAUUCAUAGUUUUUAACAAAGAAUUCAGAUAUUUUCACAUAACAAUUUUCGGGCAUCGCGGUUGGACUGCAUAUGGAAAUCGAGGAAACCCAAUAAGAGGUUUUCAAGGCCUCAAAAUUGGAAGGAAAGGGAGAAUUACGGUGAUGACCCUUUGGGUCGUCACAAUUUAACAGUCUGCGAACCAGAAAUUCGAGCAAGGAAUUCUGUUAACCCGGAAAAAGGUGUUAGGCAUUCUCGGGUUCCGCAGUCUUAGCACGGUUACUCAACUGUUAUAUUAGGCUUAAUUAUCUGAUUUUAGAACAUUUUGAACCUAUAUGCAAAUUAUAACUUUUAUGCGCUUUUAUUCAAUUUUAAAAAAGAUUGAACGCCGUUUAAAAUGUGUCUUUGGAUCGCGACAUAUGACAUACACCCGCAAUCCUAAACAUAUUUUAUGCAACGUUUUAAGAUUUGGAUUUGGGUCACAUAAAAUGCACAACCGAGUUUAGGAAUGUAGUAUUUCUAAAAUACGCUCCUAAAGCAACAAUGCUUUUUUAGCUUUGCGAGGGCCAUGAAAAUUUGCUAAAUGGUAUGCCUCGAGUUCUAAGAAUUUUAUAAGAUAUAAUUAAACGAGGGACAUGCAUUUGAGAUUAUAUUUGGUGUGGCGUGCCUCAAUUCUAUUUUUAAAGGAUAUUCAAACAAAAAAGAUCGGAGGGCCAUAAACUAUGUCUUAUCUAGUAUAGCUCACCUCCCAAUUCCUUUUUAGGGCCCUAAUUAAUUAAACACUAGGGUAUUUAAACUCUGUUUUGAGUGUGCGGUACAAACAAGAUCCCUUCCAGUUGCGGGGCUUUUGUUAAAACUAUCCCAUUAGUAGGAGGGCCUGAAUUAAAACAGGCUCAGAUCUCUAAACCACGAGGCUGCCCAAAUGUGAUAGGGCUUCCUUUUAUCUUAAAGAAUUCCAGUACUCAAGCCCAAAGGGACAAAAUAUUUAGCAAAUGCUAGGUGCAAGCAGGAGAUUUAAGAUCGAAUCCCUGAAGCCAAACAAAACGCUGAUUUGCUCAUGAAUCACUCCAACCAUUAACGAAAUAUCACUAAUUUUAAAGCAUAAGUAGGCGCCUUAUUUUAACAUUGAACAAAACUCUUCACAUGUAGAUGUCAUGUCACUUUAAUAUUCCAAACUAUAGUAAAGAAAAAUAUUAACAACUUUUGGAAUCAACACUUGACAACCAAAACCAAACCAUCAACAACUAGCUUUCUUGAAAACAGUAAUUGGUAUUGAAAUAGUGAACACCCAAGCUACAUGUUAUGCUUAACAUAUUCAUUUGAUAUUCACAUAUUUUAACUGAAACCUACAGAAACCUCUAACUAUAAAAUCAUACUUCCCCUUUUAACAUGGUUUCUAUACUAAUAACACUGAUGACUUAAAUCGAAACAUGCUCCCUUCAACAAUAUGAACAAAAUAGACUCCAAUCUUAUGGACACAUACAAGUUCAAACAAUGCCAAGCAUUUAAAAGACCUCUCAUGCACAUAUAACACCCCACAAUGAACAACAAAGCUAAUUAAAUAUUACAACAAUCCAUACUCAGAACAAACAGAAGAAAAAAACGUAAGGAAAUUAAACUAAGCUACACAAAUUCGGAAGUGCAGAAAACAUGGACCAAACGACUGUAUUAGUAAAAUCUCCAUUAAAGUGAACCAAUCUUCAUAUUCAUCCAUUUUCAUAAAUUGGAAGAUGAAAAGAGUACCUGAAAUUGAAGGAAUAAGUAAGUAAAGAAAGAUCAGCAGCUCAAUUCGAUCAGAGAUUGGCAGCAACAAUAAAACAACCCAAAUCUAGUAAUGAAACCACAGAAUUAGUUCCAAAUCCAAUGGAACAGCAAAUUCACAGUUCAAAACCCUGAGAAAUGUAAUUCCACCAGUUGACACCAGUUUCAAACACCCAUCCAACUCGAUAAACUCCAAGAUCUGACCUCACUAACUAAACCUCAAACCAUUUCAAAUCCCGGACAAAGAAAGAAACACAAAUUGAUUCAGAGAUUGGAACUUUUCAAAGUGUAGAGCUAAAUUUCAAGGCAAGAAAGAAUGUCUUUAUAGGCAAGCAAAUUGGGCAGCCCUGCUGAUUUUAGUUUACCCCUUAAGUCUCUUUUAAUUUAUGCCUUUUGCUUAAAAGUCCCUAAUAUAUUGGCUUGUUUCCAAGCUAACACUAUUAAAAAUCUUGAAUUUAAAUUAAGCCCCCCUAGAAGCUUCCAGGGGCCUCCUAUUGCUGUUACAGCACGAUUCUCUAAGCCUAUUCCCAAAUUUACCCUUGAGACCCCCGAAAAUUACCUAAGUUUACUAAAUAGGAAUAUGGGCCAAAUGACCCAAUUUAAUGGGUCUGAAAAGACCCAAAUGAAUUCAUUACUGGGCCUAACGAUCACACCUCAGCCAAAAUAAUGUUCAG